RNAcentral lists this ribosomal RNA (496 nucleotides) under uncultured bacterium. RNAcentral describes it as "partial 16S ribosomal RNA". It matches the Rfam family "Bacterial small subunit ribosomal RNA", at positions 29 to 507 of the family's 1533-position model. The record is from RNAcentral.
AUGAACGCUGGCGGCGUGCCUAAUACAUGCCGGUCGAGCGAACAGACGAGGAGCUUGCUCCUCUGACGUUAGCGGCGGACGGGUGAGUAACACGUGGAUAACCUACCUAUAAGACUGGGAUAACUUCGGGAAACCGGAGCUAAUACCGGAUAAUAUAUUGAACCGCAUGGUUCAAUAGUGAAAGACGGUUUUGCUGUCACUUAUAGAUGGAUCCGCGCCGCAUUAGCUAGUUGGUAAGGUAACGGCUUACCAAGGCGACGAUGCGUAGCCGACCUGAGAGGGUGAUCGACCACACUGGAACUGAGACACGGUCCAGACUCCUACGGGAGGCAGCAGUAGGGAAUCUUCCGCAAUGGGCGAAAGCCUGACGGAGCAACGCCGCGUGAGUGAUGAAGGUCUUCGGAUCGUAAAACUCUGUUAUUAGGGAAGAACAAAUGUGUAAGUAACUAUGCACGUCUUGACGGUACCUAAUCAGAAAGCCACGGCUAACUACGUG